GGGGCAGUAAUCCUAAUUUGGUAAGGAAGUGGUUUGCUAAACCACCAGUAAUCCGAAAGGAUGUGCAGGUUCGAGUCCUGUCUGCCCCG
RNAcentral lists this transfer RNA (89 nucleotides) under Caudoviricetes sp. RNAcentral describes it as "tRNA-Ser". It matches the Rfam family "tRNA". From Rfam's summary of the family: Transfer RNA (tRNA) molecules are approximately 80 nucleotides in length. Their secondary structure includes four short double-helical elements and three loops (D, anti-codon, and T loops). Lineage: Duplodnaviria; Heunggongvirae; Uroviricota; Caudoviricetes. The record is from RNAcentral.